Molecule: long non-coding RNA, 702 nt
Filed under: Mytilus galloprovincialis (Mediterranean mussel)
Lineage: Eukaryota; Metazoa; Mollusca; Bivalvia; Mytilida; Mytilidae
Source: RNAcentral
AAAAAACAAGAGUGCACACGCUGAAAUGUCUCGCCUUCUAUACUAAUCAUUGAUAUUAUGUAGAUAGUCCUAAGUAUAAAGCUUUAUUACAACUGUCACAUAAACGUUACAUUAACCAAGAUAACUAAACAAAGACCAAUGAACCAUGAAAAUGAGGUCAAGGUCAGAUGAACCAUGCCAGGCAGACAUGUACAGCUAACAAUGCUUCUAUACAACAUAUAUAGUUGACCUAUUACUUAUAGUUUAAGAAAAUAGACCAAAACACAAAAAACUUAACACUGUGCAAUGAACCGUGAAAAUGAGGUCAGGGUCAAAAGAAACCUGCGCUACUGACAUAAAGAUCAUAAAAUAUUUCCAUACACCAAAUAUAGUUGACCUAUGGCAUAUAGUAUUAGAUAAAAAGACCAAAACACAAAAAUUUAACUAUAACCACUGAACCAUGAAAAUGAGGUCAAGGUCCCAUGACAUCUGCCCGCUAGACAUGUACACCUUACAAUCAUUCCAUAUAACAAAUAUAGUAGACCUAUUGCAUAUAGUACGAAAAAAACAGACCAAAACACAAAAAUUUAACUAUAACCACUGAACCAUGAAAAUGAGGUCAAGGUCAGAUGACACCUGCCAGUUGGACAUGUACACCUUACAGUCCUUCCAUACACCGAAUAUACUAGCCCUAUUGCUUAUAGUAUCUGAGAUAUGGACUUG